Molecule: ribosomal RNA, 465 nt
Filed under: Escherichia coli
Lineage: Bacteria; Pseudomonadati; Pseudomonadota; Gammaproteobacteria; Enterobacterales; Enterobacteriaceae
Description: partial 23S ribosomal RNA
Rfam family: Bacterial large subunit ribosomal RNA
Source: RNAcentral
UGUUCUAACGUUGGCCCCUAAUCGGGGUUGCGGACAGUGUCUGGUGGGUAGUUUGACUGGGGCGGUCUCCUCCUAAAGAGUAACGGAGGAGCACGAAGGUUGGCUAAUCCUGGUCGGACAUCAGGAGGUUAGUGCAAUGGCAUAAGCCAGCUUGACUGCGAGCGUGACGGCGCGAGCAGGUGCGAAAGCAGGUCAUAGUGAUCCGGUGGUUCUGAAUGGAAGGGCCAUCGCUCAACGGAUAAAAGGUACUCCGGGGAUAACAGGCUGAUACCGCCCAAGAGUUCAUAUCGACGGCGGUGUUUGGCACCUCGAUGUCGGCUCAUCACAUCCUGGGGCUGAAGUAGGUCCCAAGGGUAUGGCUGUUCGCCAUUUAAAGUGGUACGCGAGCUGGGUUUAGAACGUCGUGAGACAGUUCGGUCCCUAUCUGCCGUGGGCGCUGGAGAACUGAGGGGGGCUGCUCCUAGU